Molecule: transfer RNA, 73 nt
Filed under: Felis catus (domestic cat)
Lineage: Eukaryota; Metazoa; Chordata; Mammalia; Carnivora; Felidae
Also listed under: 3 other names
Rfam family: tRNA
About the family: Transfer RNA (tRNA) molecules are approximately 80 nucleotides in length. Their secondary structure includes four short double-helical elements and three loops (D, anti-codon, and T loops).
Source: Rfam by way of RNAcentral
ACCUGGCUGCCUCAGUUGGUGGAGCAUGUGACUCUUGAUCUCAGGAUUGUGAGUUCAAGCCCCAUGUUGGGUG